AUACGGAGGGUGCGAGCGUUAAUCGGAAUUACUGGGCGUAAAGCGUGCGUAGGCGGUUGAUUUAGUCAGAUGUGAAAGCCCCGGGCUCAACCUGGGAACUGCAUUUGAAACUGGUCAACUGGAGUAUGGUAGAGGGGGGUAGAAUUUCUGGUGUAGCGGUGAAAUGCGUAGAUAUCAGAAGGAAUACCGAUGGCGAAGGCAGCCCCCUGGACCAAUACUGACGCUGAGGUACGAAAGCGUGGGGAGCAAACAGGAUUAGAAACCCUAGUAGUCC
This 274-nucleotide ribosomal RNA is filed under the name uncultured bacterium. RNAcentral describes it as "partial 16S ribosomal RNA". It matches the Rfam family "Bacterial small subunit ribosomal RNA", at positions 523 to 796 of the family's 1533-position model. The record is from RNAcentral.